This 344-nucleotide unclassified non-coding RNA is filed under the name soil metagenome. RNAcentral describes it as "partial contains 5.8S ribosomal RNA, internal transcribed spacer 2, and large subunit ribosomal RNA". The stretch from base 1 to 120 matches the Rfam family "5.8S ribosomal RNA", at positions 35 to 154 of the family's 154-position model. The record is from RNAcentral.
GAUGAAGAACGUAGCGAAAUGCGAUAAGUAAUGUGAAUUGCAGAAUUCAGUGAAUCAUCGAAUCUUUGAACGCACAUUGCACCCGCCAGUAUUCUGGCGGGCAUGCCUGUUCGAGCGUCAUUUCAACCCUCAAGCCCCCGGGCUUGGUGUUGGGGAUCGGCGUGCCCUCGCGGCGCGCCGUCCCCUAAAUCUAGUGGCGGUCUCGCUGUAGCUUCCUCUGCGUAGUAGCAACACUCGCACUGGAUCGCAGCGCGGCCACGCCGUUAAACCCCCCACUUCUGAAAGUUUGACCUCGGAUCAGGUAGGAAUACCCGCUGAACUUAAGCAUAUCAAUAAGCGGAGGA